Molecule: ribosomal RNA, 497 nt
Filed under: uncultured bacterium
Lineage: Bacteria
Description: partial 16S ribosomal RNA
Rfam family: Bacterial small subunit ribosomal RNA
Source: RNAcentral
GAUGAACGCUGGCGGCAUGCCUAAUACAUGCAAGUCGAGCGAACGGACGAGAAGCUUGCUUCUCUGAUGUUAGCGGCGGACGGGUGAGUAACACGUGGAUAACCUACCUAUAAGACUGGGAUAACUUCGGGAAACCGGAGCUAAUACCGGAUGAUAUUUUGAACCGCAUGGUUCAAAAGUGAAAGACGGUCUUGCUGUCACUUAUAGAUGGAUCCGCGCUGCAUUAGCUAGUUGGUAAGGUAACGGCUUACCAAGGCAACGAUGCAUAGCCGACCUGAGAGGGUGAUCGGCCACACUGGAACUGAGACACGGUCCAGACUCCUACGGGAGGCAGCAGUAGGGAAUCUUCCGCGAUGGGCGAAAGCCUGACGGAGCAACGCCGCGUGAGUGAUGAAGGUCUUCGGAUCGUAAAACUCUGUUAUUAGGGAAGAACAUAUGUGUAAGUAACUGUGCACAUCUUGACGGUACCUAAUCAGAAAGCCACGGCUAACUACGUG